AUAAACAUCAAAGCCCAAAACAACUCCUUGUCUCGUGUUUUUCCCCCCAAAUGUGACCCAUCCCAGGUUCAAUCAUAUUCCCUCCCAGCCCAAUUCGCCCUCCAACCCAACCCAAUUCCAGCGAUUACACAGAACAGUUCCCCAACGCGUGAGAGAACGACGACCCAAACCCAGAAUUCGAUCGCGCGUGACACGUCUUCUUCCCUUUCUCAGUCUGGUUGUGCGAUUUUCAGAGGAAGGCAGCGUACUUGUGCAGAGAGCAAGGCGAGGUGGCAAAAUCUCAGCGUCUCUCUCGUCCUAGAGUCGAUAUCGGAUGACUCUCCUUUCAAUUCCGUUGGGAAUUAGUACUAUGGACAACUUUCUACCUGUUCCUCUGAAGAGAUUUUGAAUUUCAAAUCUUGAAUUGGACCCCAUCCUCACCCGUUUUUCCACCUAAAUCAGCCCUAAUUUCCAUCUAUUUAAACCGACUCUGAUCUUCAUUAGGGGUGGGGGGGUGGGGGGGCUGGAAAGAGGAAGCAAGAAAAAAAAUGAAAAAGAAAACAUACUAAUCAUAUACUGUGUUCAUCAAUCGAUCGAAAUACGUAGAAAUAAGCUUCAAUCGAUAAUACUUGGAAGGUUAGCUUGGGAUUUUUCUCUCAGGGCGUUCAUUGAAGAUUUGUGGUGAAGUUGUCGCCAGCUCUUGGUUCCAAUUUGCUGCCCGGAAAAAGUAAAAAAUUCCUUUCGGGUCCUUACGGACCUCACUUCAUCUAUUCGCAUCCUCUCGUUGAGCCGUAAAGGCUCACACUACCAUAUACGAGGCGUCCAGCCCCCUCUAAACUGGUGUACAGGUCGAAAAGCAGCAAAUAUGUUGCUGGAAAAUAAUUUGCAGGUCUCCAAAAGCCUAAGAAAGGGCUAAUAUACUGUUGUAUACACUGAUAUACAGUUGAAAUAUGUGAUGUACAGUUCCAAAAAUUAUACAGGUGCUGGAAAUUUGAUCUGGGGCAGCAUAAAUUCGGUAUACAGCCCAAGAUACAGGAAAUGGGGCUAAUAUAUGAAUUUUAUACACUGAUAUACAACGUUUGUAUACAAACAGAAUUGAUUUUGAAGUCCAAAAUCAGCAGCUUUGGCCCAAUGUUUCUGCGCAGCAAUAGGCCCAGAAGGCCCAAACCUUCCUCUCUCACUCUUUUUUUAUUUGAAUUUAUUAAUUUGUCUAUCACUUUAUUUACUAAUUAAUUUUAAGGAUAACUUAAUUAAAUUCCCAAAAAGAUGAACCAUAUUCUUUAUGUUAGUGUAUAAAUUCUUUUUUUUUUCAA
This is a long non-coding RNA of Solanum lycopersicum (tomato), 1292 nucleotides long. RefSeq lists it as uncharacterized. The record is from RefSeq and is a predicted model, not a curated record. Lineage: Eukaryota; Viridiplantae; Streptophyta; Magnoliopsida; Solanales; Solanaceae.